AUGCAGAAGGCCCAUAAUUCCGUGAAGGUAAAAACGGUCCCCUCUUACCUCAUUGCUCCUAUUUUGAGACUGAAAUUAAGCUCAUCUACAGGGACCUACGGGGCAGGCAGAAGACUCCAGGGCCAGACCUACGUGCGGCAGCUCAGAAGCGGCACUGCCUGCCGGCAGCCUGGGUUCUGCCAGGAGAUUGCUACAUCUUUCCUGGGCACCAUCAUGCCAUUACCGCCCUCCUUCCUCUUCAGGGAAGUGACGUGUGACUCUUCCCCCGGGAGACAGCAGGGAGCUGGUCUGCUCUUCACAUCAGAAGUGCCCUCUUUUGGAUGUGCCGCAGAAGUGCCUCUGGUUGCCAGCAGGAGACAGGGUGCAGUGUGUUGCUACUUCAUGGAUAGAAAUCCAGAAGCCAACCUCCUCAGGGUGUGCAAUGGCCCUGUCGCAUCCAGAAAAUACUGGUUCACAGAGGUCAUCGACUGCCUCAGACUCUUACAGUCGCUCUGCACCCUCAUCAUUUUCUUCUGUCAAGUUGGUGUAUUAAAAAAAAAUGGAGACCAAGCAGAGCAUCCAGAAGAAACCUUCCCCAACACUGAAACCAAUAGUGAAUUUGGUAAACAUCCUGAAGAAGAUACGAAAGAAGAGGAAGUCUUUAAAAGAUCUAGAAAUACUGAUGAGAUGGUUGAACUGCACAUUUUGCUUCAGAGCAAGAAUGCUGGGGCAGGAUUGGACAAGGAGGCAAGAGUAUUAAGGCUCCCCACACAGACUGUAAUGCCAGUGUUUCAGUCCCAGACAGCAGUGGCUCCGAGAGCACACUGAGUAUCAAUGCUGAUAUUGAAACAAUCGAAGAAAUUCUGAAGAAAAUCAUCCCGACCUUGGAAGAGGACCUGCAGUUGCCAUGACCCACUGCAACCAGCCAGCUCCCACUCGAAUCUGAUGCUGUGGAAGGCUUAAAUUACCAACAGUAUAAAGGAGGUGACUUUGAAUGCGAGUUGAGACUGUUGAUUCAUCAAAGUCUGGCAGAAGGAAUUUUUGGUGUCAAAGGUGCUAAAAUUAAAGAGCUUUGAGAAAACACUCAGACAACAAUCGAAUUUUCCAGGAAUGCUGCCCUCUCUCCACUGACAGAGCUGUUCCUAUUGGAGGAAAGCCAGAUAGGUCUGUAGAGUGCACAAGAUCAUCCUUGACCUUAGAUCUGAGUCUCCCAUCAAAGGACGUGCACAGCCUUGUGAUUCCAAUUUUUAUGAUGAAACCCAUGAUUAUGGAGGUUUUACAAUGAUGUUUGAUGACCGCUGUGGACGUACUGUGGGAUUUCCCGUGCGGUGGUUUUGACAGAAUGUCUCCUGGUCAGGGUGGGUGUUCCAUACUUUCCUCUAGAAGAGAUUAUGAUGAUAUGAGCCUUCGUCAAGAACCUUCCCCACCUCCUCCUGGUCACGGUGGCCAGGGUGGAGCAGAGCUUGGAAUCUUCCUCUUCCUCCACAACCACCUCCCAGAGGGGGCGAUCUAAUGGCUUUUGACAGAAGAGGAGGGCCUGGAGACCUCCGUGAUGGCAUGGUUGGGUUCAGUGCUGAUGAAACUUGGGACUCUGCAAUUGUCACAUGGAGUCCACCGAAAUGGAAGAUGGCUUAUGAACCACAGGGUAGUUCUGGAUAUAAUUAUUUCUAUGCAGGGGGUCAUGGCUUCUAUGCUGAUCUUGGCAGACCUAUUAUUACCACAGAAGUAACUAUUCCCAAAGAUUUGGCUAAAUCUAUUAUUGGCAAAGGUGGUCAGCAGAUUAAAGAAAUCCAUCAUGAGUAAGGCACAUCGCUCAAAUUUGGAAGGAUCUGAAGAUGGGAUCAUUACCGUCACAGGACACAGGACCAGAUACAGAAUGCACAGCAUUUGCUGCAGAACAGUGUGGAGCAGUAUUCUGGAAAGUUCUUCUAAGACCAGUGAAGAACUGAAGGAGUCCUGUAUCUUUUUUCUUAUCUGCUUCUGUUUAA
Molecule: non-coding RNA, 1967 nt
Organism: Myodes glareolus (Bank vole)
Lineage: Eukaryota; Metazoa; Chordata; Mammalia; Rodentia; Cricetidae
Source: RefSeq, a predicted model, not a curated record